RNAcentral lists this ribosomal RNA (470 nucleotides) under uncultured bacterium. Its description in RNAcentral is "partial 16S ribosomal RNA". It matches the Rfam family "Bacterial small subunit ribosomal RNA", at positions 28 to 507 of the family's 1533-position model. The record is from RNAcentral.
GACGAACGCUGGCGGCGUGCUUAACACAUGCAAGUCGAACGGUGAACGAGGGAGCUUGCUCCCUCCGGAUCAGUGGCGAACGGGUGAGUAACACGUGAGCAAUCUGCCCCGAACUCUGGGAUAAGCGUUGGAAACGACGUCUAAUACCGGAUACGACUCGGGAGGGCAUCCUCUCCGCGUGGAAAGAACUUCGGUUCGGGAUGAGCUCGCGGCCUAUCAGCUUGUUGGUGAGGUAACGGCUCACCAAGGCGACGACGGGUAGCCGGCCUGAGAGGGUGACCGGCCACACUGGGACUGAGAAACGGCCCAGACUCCUACGGGAGGCAGCAGUGGGGAAUAUUGCACAAUGGGCGCAAGCCUGAUGCAGCAACGCCGCGUGAGGGACGACGGCCUUCGGGUUGUAAACCUCUUUUAGCAGGGAAGAAGCGAAAGUGACGGUACCUGCAGAAAAAGCACCGGCUAACUACGUG